This 254-nucleotide ribosomal RNA is filed under the name uncultured bacterium. RNAcentral describes it as "partial 16S ribosomal RNA". It matches the Rfam family "Bacterial small subunit ribosomal RNA", at positions 524 to 777 of the family's 1533-position model. The record is from RNAcentral.
UACGGAGGGUGCAAGCGUUAUCCGGAUUUACUGGGUUUAAAGGGUGUGUAGGCGGACUUUUAAGUCAGCGGUGAAAUCUCCGGGCUCAACCCGGAAACUGCCAUUGAUACUAUUGGUCUUGAAUGUUGUUGAGGUGGGCGGAACGGGUCAUGUAGCGGUGAAAUGCAUAGAUAUGACCCGGAACACCGAUUGCGAAGGCAGCCCACUAAGCAACGAUUGACGCUGAGGCACGAAAGCGUGGGGAUCAAACAGGG